AGAACAUCAUUUUUGGGUUCUGCCGUAUGGGACAGACAGACAUACUUGCACACAUUGAAUAUGCUGACAACAAAUGAAGGCUACGAGAAAGUACGUGUCGCUGUCUCGGUGAGGUUGAGGUGUCCCUUGAAGACUAAUGUGAAGAUUUCUAUUCUUGGGACACGGACUGGGCCGUAGCUCAUCCAGAGACCAGUCAUGCAGAAGACGCGAUCAUCUCCUCAGUGCACUUGUGAUGUGUGAUCAGGGAACAUAUGGAAGAUAUCAUGGCUUAUAAAGAAAAGACCACUAGGGGUCCCCAUAUCAUCCAGAACAUAAUCCUGUCUGGCUGCAGAAUCAUCUUUGUCCCAGCUGAAGCACAAGCAAGGACAAAGUCCUGUAAGUGAAGCAGCCCCAGUAAUACCGCGACGUGCUCUCCCAGCGUGUUCCUUGGC
Molecule: long non-coding RNA, 431 nt
Organism: Hyla sarda
Lineage: Eukaryota; Metazoa; Chordata; Amphibia; Anura; Hylidae
Exons: 5
Source: RefSeq, a predicted model, not a curated record